AGUUUGAUCCUGGCUCAGGAUGAACGCUAGCGGCAGGCCUAACACAUGCAAGUCGAACGGUAACAGGAAAGAGCUUGCUUUUUUGCUGACGAGUGGCGCACGGGUGCGUAACGCGUAUAUAAUCUACCUUUUACAGGGGGAUAGCCUUUAGAAAUGAAGAAUAAUACCCCAUAGUAAGUUGCCUUGGCAUCGAGAUAACUUUAAAGCUUCGGCGGUAAAAGAUGAAUAUGCGUUCUAUUAGCUAGAUGGUGUGGUAACGGCACACCAUGGCGACGAUAGAUAGGGGCCCUGAGAGGGGGAUCCCCCACACUGGUACUGAGACACGGACCAGACUCCUACGGGAGGCAGCAGUGAGGAAUAUUGGACAAUGGGCGAAAGCCUGAUCCAGCCAUGCCGCGUGCAGGAAGACUGCCCUAUGGGUUGUAAACUGCUUUUAUACGGGAAGAACCCCAUCUACGUGUAGAUGGCUGACGGUACCGUAAGAAUAAGGAUCGGCUAACUCCGUGCCAGCAGCCGCGGUAAUACGGAGGAUCCAAGCGUUAUCCGGAAUCAUUGGGUUUAAAGGGUCCGUAGGUGGAUAAUUAAGUCAGGGGUGAAAGUCUGCAGCUCAACUGUAGAAUUGCCUUUGAUACUGGUUAUCUUGAAUUAUUGUGAAGUGGUUAGAAUAUGUAGUGUAGCGGUGAAAUGCAUAGAUAUUACAUAGAAUACCAAUUGCGAAGGCAGAUCACUAACAAUAUAUUGACACUGAUGGACGAAAGCGUGGGGAGCGAACAGGAUUAGAUACCCUGGUAGUCCACGCCGUAAACGAUGGUCACUAGCUGUUCGGACUUCGGUCUGAGUGGCUAAGCGAAAGUGAUAAGUGACCCACCUGGGGAGUACGUUCGCAAGAAUGAAACUCAAAGGAAUUGACGGGGGCCCGCACAAGCGGUGGAGCAUGUGGUUUAAUUCGAUGAUACGCGAGGAACCUUACCAGGGCUUAAAUGUAAGUUGCAUUAGUUAGAGAUAGCUAUUUCUUCGGACCACUUACAAGGUGCUGCAUGGUUGUCGUCAGCUCGUG
This 1057-nucleotide ribosomal RNA is filed under the name uncultured Winogradskyella sp. RNAcentral's name for it is "bacterial SSU rRNA". It matches the Rfam family "Bacterial small subunit ribosomal RNA", at positions 10 to 1064 of the family's 1533-position model. Lineage: Bacteria; Pseudomonadati; Bacteroidota; Flavobacteriia; Flavobacteriales; Flavobacteriaceae. The record is from RNAcentral.